This 577-nucleotide ribosomal RNA is filed under the name uncultured Sediminibacterium sp. RNAcentral's name for it is "bacterial SSU rRNA". It matches the Rfam family "Bacterial small subunit ribosomal RNA", at positions 335 to 912 of the family's 1533-position model. Lineage: Bacteria; Pseudomonadati; Bacteroidota; Chitinophagia; Chitinophagales; Chitinophagaceae. The record is from RNAcentral.
ACUCCUACGGGAGGCAGCAGUAAGGAAUAUUGGACAAUGGACGCAAGUCUGAUCCAGCCAUGCCGCGUGAAGGAUUAAGGUCCUCUGGAUUGUAAACUUCUUUUAUAAGGGACGAAAAAAGGUCUUUCUAGAUCGUCUGACGGUACCUUAUGAAUAAGCACCGGCUAACUCCGUGCCAGCAGCCGCGGUAAUACGGAGGGUGCAAGCGUUAUCCGGAUUCACUGGGUUUAAAGGGUGCGUAGGCGGGCAGGUAAGUCAGUGGUGAAAUCCUAGAGCUCAACUCUAGAACUGCCAUUGAUACUAUCUGUCUUGAAUAUUGUGGAGGUAAGCGGAAUAUGUCAUGUAGCGGUGAAAUGCUUAGAUAUGACAUAGAACACCUAUUGCGAAGGCAGCUUACUACGCAUAUAUUGACGCUGAGGCACGAAAGCGUGGGGAUCAAACAGGAUUAGAUACCCUGGUAGUCCACGCCCUAAACGAUGGAUACUCGACAUACGCGAUACACUGUGUGUGUCUGAGCGAAAGCAUUAAGUAUCCCACCUGGGAAGUACGUCCGCAAGGAUGAAACUCAAAGGAAUUG